Molecule: long non-coding RNA, 581 nt
Filed under: Bos taurus (domestic cattle)
Lineage: Eukaryota; Metazoa; Chordata; Mammalia; Artiodactyla; Bovidae
Description: long non-coding RNA NONBTAT017155
Source: RNAcentral
CUGUAGACAAAUAAUUUCUACUUGUAGCCUAUACAUGUUCUAUUUAUAUGUUAUUGUGUUGUCUGCUACCACCACUGGUAUAUGUGAGAUAUACAAGUAUGUUUUGAAAUUAUAACUUCAAAUUUUCAUUUUGAACAAAGUUUCUUUUUUUUAUUUAAAAAAAUGUACUUUGAUUCUCUUUAUAUUUCUUGCCUUUCAUUUUUCUUAUUAUGUUGUAAGCAUUAGGAAAAUUAGCUGAAAAGAAUUUCAUUAAAACAAAUUAAGAUCUUAAACAUUCAAUAAAUUGAGUAAUAGAAAAGGAUGAAUUUCAAUAGCUUGAAAAUUGUUCUACACUUCUUCCUGUUUAUUCAGAAAAGGGAAAAAAAAAACCCAGAAGGGUCUCAUACUUAAAUCUAAACUACAGUCAUCUCUCAGUUAUCCUUGGGUAUAAUAUUACUUUUAUGUUGUAUCCACAACAAACCUUUCAGAUUUCGUAAUUGGCACCUGCUAAUUACAAGCUUUGCUGAUAGCUCAGCACUUCUGUUCAUCGUAAUUUGCAUGCAGCCUGAAGCUCAGUCUUCCAACUUUGAAAUCACCCCCAA